ACGGGUGAGGAAUACAUCGGAAUCUACUUUUUCGUGGGGGAUAACGUAGGGAAACUUACGCUAAUACCGCAUACGACCUACGGGUGAAAGCAGGGGACCUUCGGGCCUUGCGCGAUUGAAUGAGCCGAUGUCGGAUUAGCUAGUUGGCGGGGUAAAGGCCCACCAAGGCGACGAUCCGUAGCUGGUCUGAAAGGAUGAUCAGCCACACUGGAACUGAGACACGGUCCAGACUCCUACGGGAGGCAGCAGUGGGGAAUAUUGGACAAUGGGCGCAAGCCUGAUCCAGCCAUACCGCGUGGGUGAAGAAGGCCUUCGGGUUGUAAAGCCCUUUUGUUGGGAAAGAAAUCCAGCCGGCUAAUACCUGGUUGGGAUGACGGUACCCAAAGAAUAAGCACCGGCUAACUUCGUGCCAGCAGCCGCGGUAAUACGAAGGGUGCAAGCGUUACUCGGAAUUACUGGGCGUAAAGCGUGCGUAGGUGGUUGUUUAAGUCUGUUGUGAAAGCCCUGGGCUCAACCUGGGAACUGCAGUGGAAACUGGACAACUAGAGUGUGGUAGAGGGUAGCGGAAUUCCCGGUG
RNAcentral lists this ribosomal RNA (577 nucleotides) under Stenotrophomonas sp. StRD754. RNAcentral's name for it is "bacterial SSU rRNA". It matches the Rfam family "Bacterial small subunit ribosomal RNA", at positions 102 to 675 of the family's 1533-position model. The record is from RNAcentral. Lineage: Bacteria; Pseudomonadati; Pseudomonadota; Gammaproteobacteria; Lysobacterales; Lysobacteraceae.